AUUGAACGCUAGCGGGAGGCUUUACACAUGCAAGUCGAACGAGUGGCGGACGGGUGAGUAAUAUAUCGGACCGUGCCCAGUAGGGGGGGAUAACUACGAGAAAGAGGGGAUAAUAGCGCAACCUCUUGGGGCGGCCGAUAUCGGUAUAGCUAGUGGGUGGGGUAAAGGCUCACAAAGGCAACGACCCGUAGCUGGUUUGAGAGGAAGACCAGCCACACUGUGACUGAGACACGGCCCAGACUCCUACGGGAGGCAGCAGUGGGGAAUUUUGGACAAUGGGGGAAACCCUGAUCCAGCCAUCCCGCGUGUAUGAGAAGGCCUUCGGGUUGUAAAGUACUUUUGGCAGAGAAGCGGUAUCUGCAGAAUAAGCACCGGCUAACUACGUGCCAGCAGCCGCGGUAAUAC
Molecule: ribosomal RNA, 405 nt
Filed under: uncultured bacterium
Lineage: Bacteria
Description: partial 16S ribosomal RNA
Rfam family: Bacterial small subunit ribosomal RNA
Source: RNAcentral